Molecule: non-coding RNA, 261 nt
Organism: Pelobates cultripes (western spadefoot toad)
Lineage: Eukaryota; Metazoa; Chordata; Amphibia; Anura; Pelobatidae
Source: the annotation of a GenBank genome assembly
GUUAGUUUUUCUUUUUUUCAUAGUCUGUCCUCAUCUUGCUGCGGGGAGACUUUGUUAAACAACUUUCAAUGUGACCUAUAGCAAUAGAUAUGCAGACGGCUAGACUGAAAGUGGAAUGAACGAUACAGGCGUACUCUCGGAGAGCUAGCAAUAACUACAGUUUGCGGAAUAUCGCCAUCUGAUUGACGACGACCUUAAACAGUCUAAGCAUAGCCGUAGCAACGAUAGUUGAAAUUUUGUCAACUCUGUGCUAAAAUAAAC